This 641-nucleotide ribosomal RNA is filed under the name uncultured Lachnospiraceae bacterium. RNAcentral describes it as "bacterial SSU rRNA". It matches the Rfam family "Bacterial small subunit ribosomal RNA", at positions 72 to 720 of the family's 1533-position model. The record is from RNAcentral. Lineage: Bacteria; Bacillati; Bacillota; Clostridia; Lachnospirales; Lachnospiraceae.
AUUUCUUCGGAAUGAAGUUUUAGUGACUGAGUGGCGGACGGGUGAGUAACGCGUGGGUAACCUGCCUCACACAGGGGGAUAACAGUUGGAAACGGCUGCUAAUACCGCAUAAGCGCACAGUACCGCAUGGUACAGUGUGAAAAAACUCCGGUGGUGUGAGAUGGACCCGCGUCUGAUUAGCUAGUUGGCAGGGCAACGGCCUACCAAGGCGACGAUCAGUAGCCGACCUGAGAGGGUGACCGGCCACAUUGGGACUGAGACACGGCCCAAACUCCUACGGGAGGCAGCAGUGGGGAAUAUUGCACAAUGGGGGAAACCCUGAUGCAGCGACGCCGCGUGAGCGAAGAAGUAUUUCGGUAUGUAAAGCUCUAUCAGCAGGGAAGAAGAAAUGACGGUACCUGACUAAGAAGCACCGGCUAAAUACGUGCCAGCAGCCGCGGUAAUACGUAUGGUGCAAGCGUUAUCCGGAUUUACCUGGGUGUAAAGGGAGCGCAGGCGGAAGGCUAAGUCUGACGUGAAAGCCCGGGGCUCAACCCCGGUACUGCAUUGGAAACUGGUCAUCUAGAGUGUCGGAGGGGUAAGUGGAAUUCCUAGUGUAGCGGUGAAAUGCGUAGAUAUUAGGAGGAACACCAGUGGCGAAG